Long non-coding RNA from Amblyraja radiata (thorny skate), 232 nucleotides. RefSeq lists it as uncharacterized. The transcript is spliced from 3 exons. Lineage: Eukaryota; Metazoa; Chordata; Chondrichthyes; Rajiformes; Rajidae. The record is from RefSeq and is a predicted model, not a curated record.
CCGCCUGUCUCGUAUCAGCUUCCACCACCAUCCCUGGCAACGCGUUCCAGAAACUCACCACCAUUGGGGUAGAAAACCUGCCUCGCACAUCUCCUUUAAACGUUGCCCCUCUCAUCCUAUAGCUGUGCUCUCUACUAUUAAAUAUUCCCCUCUCGGUAAAAGGUUCUGAUUGUGUAACCUGCCCACCCCUCUCAUAAUUCGAUAGACUUCCAUCAAACUUGUUUGAUUAUGA